GAUGAAGAACGUAGUGAAAUGCGAUAAGUAAUGUGAAUUGCAGAAUUCAGUGAAUCAUCGAAUCUUUGAACGCACAUUGCGCCCAUUAGUAUUCUAGUGGGCAUGCCUGUUCGAGCGUCAUUAAGUCCACUUAAGCCCUGCUUAGUGUUGGGAGACUGCUCCAGCGGUGCUACCCUGUAGCUACCCUGCAGCUCCUCAAAGACAGCGGCGGAGUUGUGGUAUCCUCUGAGCUUAGUAACUUGUUCUAGCUUUCGAGUACACCUCUUCCCCUGCCGUAAAACCCUUAAUUUUUAAUGGUUGACCUCGGAUCAGGUAGGAAUACCCGCUGAACUUAAGCAUAUCAAUAAGCGGAGGA
This 355-nucleotide unclassified non-coding RNA is filed under the name soil metagenome. Its description in RNAcentral is "partial contains 5.8S ribosomal RNA, internal transcribed spacer 2, and large subunit ribosomal RNA". The stretch from base 1 to 120 matches the Rfam family "5.8S ribosomal RNA", at positions 35 to 154 of the family's 154-position model. The record is from RNAcentral.